CCUACGGGAGGCAGCAGUGAGGAAUUUUCCGCAAUGGGCUAACGCCUGACGGAGCAAUGCCGCGUGGAGGAGGAAGGCCUGUGGGUCGUAAACUCCUUUUCUCAGAGAAGAAGAUCUGACGGUAUCUGAGGAAUAAGCAUCGGCUAACUCUGUGCCAGCAGCCGCGGUAAUACAGGGGGAUGCAAGCGUUAUCCGGAAUUAUUGGGCGUAAAGCGUCCUGAGGUGGCUUACCCAGUCGACUGUGAAAGCUCAAGGCUCAACCUUGAAACGGCAGUCGAAACUUGUAAGCUUGAGUACGGUAGAGGCAGAGGGAAUUCCCGGAGGAGAGGUGAAAUUCGUAGAUAUCGGGAGGAAGGCCAAAGGCGAAAGCACUCUGCUGGGCCGAUUACUGACACUGACAGACGAAAGCUAGGGGAGCGAAAGGGAUUAGAUACCCCUGUAGUCCUAGCCGUAAACGAUGGAUACUAAGUGUUGCGCGACUCAACUCGUGCAGUGCUGCAGCUAACGCGGUAAGUAUCCCGCCUGGGGAGUAUGCUCGCAAGAGUGAAACUCAAAGGAUUGACGG
Molecule: ribosomal RNA, 565 nt
Filed under: uncultured bacterium
Lineage: Bacteria
Description: bacterial SSU rRNA
Rfam family: Bacterial small subunit ribosomal RNA
Source: RNAcentral